This 440-nucleotide unclassified non-coding RNA is filed under the name Hevea brasiliensis (rubber tree). Lineage: Eukaryota; Viridiplantae; Streptophyta; Magnoliopsida; Malpighiales; Euphorbiaceae. The record is from RNAcentral.
UAUCUUUCAUAAUUAAAAAAAUAAGUCAAUGUAAAAAAUGCUUAAAAACUUUAUUUUAAAUUUUUUUUUAAUGUGUUAUUCAUUUAUUUUAUAAUAAUAUGAACUUUUUUAUUAUUGUUAAUAAAUAUUUUUCUAAGUAAUUAUCAAUUUUAGUGUUAGAAAAAUUAUAGUAUAAUUUUGGUUAUAGGAAAGCCAUUGUUUUCCAUUUGUGGAACAAUUGGAAAAUUUAACUUUUAUUAUAAAGGAAAGUAGUGGAAAACAAUUUAAACCUUAACUUCGAAAACUUUUUCAGUUUUCCACAAGUGAACAUGCCUUGUUAAUUUCGAGUUAAUGCAUGUGGGUAUAACUAUUUAAUGCUUGUGGGUAUAACUAUAGGUUGGAGAGGACUUCAUUAAUAGGUUUGGAAUCAAUUGAUCACAGUUGAUGUCAAGGCAGAUUCU